Molecule: ribosomal RNA, 497 nt
Filed under: uncultured bacterium
Lineage: Bacteria
Description: partial 16S ribosomal RNA
Rfam family: Bacterial small subunit ribosomal RNA
Source: RNAcentral
GAUGAACGCUGGCGGCGUGCCUAAUACAUGCAAGUCGAGCGAACAGACGAGGAGCUUGCUCCUCUGACGUUAGCGGCGGACGGGUGAGUAACACGUGGAUAACCUACCUAUAAGACUGGGAUAACUUCGGGAAACCGGAGCUAAUACCGGAUAAUAUAUUGAACCGCAUGGUUCAAUAGUGAAAGACGGUUUUGCUGUCACUUAUAGAUGGAUCCGCGCCGCAUUAGCUAGUUGGUAAGGUAACAGCUUACCAAGGCAACGAUGCGUAGCCGACCUGAGAGGGUGAUCGGCCACACUGGAACUGAGACACGGUCCAGACUCCUACGGGAGGCAGCAGUAGGGAAUCUUCCGCAGUGGGCGAAAGCCUGACGGAGCAACGCCGCGUGAGUGAUGAAGGUCUUCGGAUCGUAAAACUCUGUUAUUAGGGAAGAACAAAUGUGUAAGUAACUAUGCACGUCUUGACGGUACCUAAUCAGAAAGCCACGGCUAACUACGUG